GAUGAACGCUAGCUACAGGCUUAACACAUGCAAGUCGAGGGGAAACGACAUCGAAAGCUUGCUUUUGAUGGGCGUCGACCGGCGCACGGGUGAGUAACGCGUAUCCAACCUGCCCAUCACUUGGGAAUAACCUUGCGAAAGUAAGACUAAUACCCAAUGACAUCCCACGAAGACAUCUGAAUGGGAUUAAAGAUUUAUCGGUGAUGGAUGGGGAUGCGUCUGAUUAGCUUGUUGGCGGGGUAACGGCCCACCAAGGCAACGAUCAGUAGGGGUUCUGAGAGGAAGGUCCCCCACAUGGGAACUGAGACACGGUCCAAACUCCUACGGGAGGCAGCAGUGAGGAAUAGUGGUCAAUGGGCGAGAGCCUGAACCAGCCAAGUAGCGUGCAGGAUGACGGCCCUAUGGGUUGUAAACUGCUUUUAUAAGGGAAUAAAGUGGGUCUCGUGAGACUUUUUGCAUGUACCUUAUGAAUAAGGACCGGCUAAUUCCGUG
RNAcentral lists this ribosomal RNA (492 nucleotides) under uncultured bacterium. Its description in RNAcentral is "partial 16S ribosomal RNA". It matches the Rfam family "Bacterial small subunit ribosomal RNA", at positions 28 to 507 of the family's 1533-position model. The record is from RNAcentral.